RNAcentral lists this transfer RNA (73 nucleotides) under Stegodyphus dumicola. RNAcentral's name for it is "tRNA-Ala". It matches the Rfam family "tRNA". Rfam says of the family: Transfer RNA (tRNA) molecules are approximately 80 nucleotides in length. Their secondary structure includes four short double-helical elements and three loops (D, anti-codon, and T loops). The record is from RNAcentral. RNAcentral also lists the same sequence under 1 other name. Lineage: Eukaryota; Metazoa; Arthropoda; Arachnida; Araneae; Eresidae.
GCCUUCGUAGUGUAGUGGUCAGCACGCUCGACGCGCAUUCGAGAGGUCCGUGGUUCGAGUCCCGGCGAGGGCA